This 253-nucleotide ribosomal RNA is filed under the name uncultured bacterium. RNAcentral describes it as "partial 16S ribosomal RNA". It matches the Rfam family "Bacterial small subunit ribosomal RNA", at positions 524 to 776 of the family's 1533-position model. The record is from RNAcentral.
UACGUAGGUGGCGAGCGUUGUUCGGAUUUAUUGGGCGUAAAGGGUCCGUAGGUGGUUUGUUAAGUCUGACGUGAAAUCCCAUGGCUCAACCAUGGAACUGCGUUGGAAACUGAUGAACUGGAGUGUUGUAGAGGUAAGCGGAAUACCAGGUGUAGCGGUGGAAUGCGUAGAUAUCUGGUAGAACACCGAAAGCGAAGGCAGCUUACUGGGCAACAACUGACACUGAGGGACGAAAGCGUGGGGAGCAAACAGG